RNAcentral lists this non-coding RNA (46 nucleotides) under unclassified sequences. RNAcentral describes it as "ssNA-helicase RNA". It matches the Rfam family "ssNA-helicase RNA". Rfam says of the family: Firmicutes, Actinobacteria (1 example). The record is from Rfam by way of RNAcentral.
CGCCCCACGGGAAGUAUUACCGUGGGGCAGCAAGGUAGCGGUAGCA